AACGAGUGGCGGACGGGUGAGUAACACGUGGGUAACCUGCCCUUAAGUGGGGGACAACAUUUGGAAACAGAUGCUAAUACCGCAUAAAUCCAAGAACCGCAUGGUUCUUGGCUGAAAGAUGGCGUAAGCUAUCGCUUUUGGAUGGACCCGCGGCGUAUUAGCUAGUUGGUGAGGUAACGGCUCACCAAGGCCAUGAUACGUAGCCGAACUGAGAGGUUGAUCGGCCACAUUGGGACUGAGACACGGCCCAAACUCCUACGGGAGGCAGCAGUAGGGAAUCUUCCACAAUGGACGCAAGUCUGAUGGAGCAACGCCGCGUGAGUGAAGAAGGCUUUCGGGUCGUAAAACUCUGUUGUUGGAGAAGAAUGGUCGGCAGAGUAACUGUUGUCGGCGUGACGGUAUCCAACCAGAAAGCCACGGCUAACUACGUGCCAGCAGCCGCGGUAAUACGUAGGUGGCAAGCGUUAUCCGGAUUUAUUGGGCGUAAAGCGAGCGCAGGCGGUUUUUUAAGUCUGAUGUGAAAGCCCUCGGCUUAACCGAGGAAGCGCAUCGGAAACUGGGAAACUUGAGUGCAGAAGAGGACAGUGGAACUCCAUGUGUAGCGGUGAAAUGCGUAGAUAUAUGGAAGAACACCAGUGGCGAAGGCGGCUGUCUGGUCUGUAACUGACGCUGAGGCUCGAAAGCAUGGGUAGCGAACAGGAUUAGAUACCCUGGUAGUCCAUGCCGUAAACGAUGAAUGCUAGGUGUUGGAGGGUUUCCGCCCUUCAGUGCCGCAGCUAACGCAUUAAGCAUUCCGCCUGGGGAGUACGACCGCAAGGUUGAAACUCAAAGGAAUUGACGGGGGCCCGCACAAGCGGUGGAGCAUGUGGUUUAAUUCGAAGCAACGCGAAGAACCUUACCAGGUCUUGACAUCUUUUGAUCACCUGAGAGAUCAGGUUUCCCCUUCGGGGGCAAAAUGACAGGUGGUGCAUGGUUGUCGUCAGCUCGUGUCGUGAGAUGUUGGGUUAAGUCCCGCAACGAGCGCAACCCUUAUGACUAGUUGCCAGCAUUCAGUUGGGCACUCUAGUAAGACUGCCGGUGACAAACCGGAGGAAGGUGGGGAUGACGUCAAAUCAUCAUGCCCCUUAUGACCUGGGCUACACACGUGCUACAAUGGAUGGUACAACGAGUUGCGAGACCGCGAGGUCAAGCUAAUCUCUUAAAGCCAUUCUCAGUUCGGACUGUAGGCUGCAACUCGCCUACACGAAGUCGGAAUCGCUAGUAAUCGCGGAUCAGCACGCCGCGGUGAAUACGUUCCCGGGCCUUGUACACACCGCCCGUCACACCAUGAGAGUUUGUAACACCCGAAGCCGGUGGCGUAACCCUUUUAGGGAGCGAGCCGUCUAAGGUGGGACAAAUGAUUAGGGUGAAGUCGUAACAAGGUAGCCGUAGGAGAACCUGCGGCUGGAUCACCUCCUUUCUAAGGAA
This 1467-nucleotide ribosomal RNA is filed under the name Lactobacillus sp. HMSC068F07. Its description in RNAcentral is "bacterial SSU rRNA". It matches the Rfam family "Bacterial small subunit ribosomal RNA". The record is from RNAcentral. Lineage: Bacteria; Bacillati; Bacillota; Bacilli; Lactobacillales; Lactobacillaceae.